RNAcentral lists this ribosomal RNA (497 nucleotides) under uncultured bacterium. Its description in RNAcentral is "partial 16S ribosomal RNA". It matches the Rfam family "Bacterial small subunit ribosomal RNA", at positions 28 to 507 of the family's 1533-position model. The record is from RNAcentral.
GACGAACGCUGGCGGCGUGCCUAAUACAUGCAAGUUGAGCGCUGAAGGUUGGUACUUGUACCAACUGGAUGAGCAGCGAACGGGUGAGUAACGCGUGGGGAAUCUGCCUUUGAGCGGGGGACAACAUUUGGAAACGAAUGCUAAUACCGCAUAAAAACUUUAAACACAAGUUUUAAGUUUGAAAGAUGCAAUUGCAUCACUCAAAGAUGAUCCCGCGUUGUAUUAGCUAGUUGGUGAGGUAAAGGCUCACCAAGGCGAUGAUACAUAGCCGACCUGAGAGGGUGAUCGGCCACAAUGGGACUGGGACACGGCCCAAGCUCCUACGGGAGGCAGCAGUAGGGGAUCUUCGGCAAUGGACGGAAGUCUGACCGAGCAACGCCGCGGGAGGGAAGAAGGUUUUCGGAUCGUAAAACUCUGUUGGUAGAGAAGAACGUUGGUGAGAGUGGAAAGCUCAUCAAGUGACGGUAACUACACAGAAAGGGACGGCUAACUACGUG